UGGCUCAGUUGGUUAGAGUGUUGUGCUGAUAACACCAAGGUCACGGGUUCGAUCCCUGU
Molecule: transfer RNA, 59 nt
Filed under: Apaloderma vittatum (bar-tailed trogon)
Lineage: Eukaryota; Metazoa; Chordata; Aves; Trogoniformes; Trogonidae
Rfam family: tRNA
About the family: Transfer RNA (tRNA) molecules are approximately 80 nucleotides in length. Their secondary structure includes four short double-helical elements and three loops (D, anti-codon, and T loops).
Source: Rfam by way of RNAcentral